UACGAAGGGGGCUAGCGUUGCUCGGAAUCACUGGGCGUAAAGCGCACGUAGGCGGCUUUCUAAGUCAGGGGUGAAAUCCUGGAGCUCAACUCCAGAACUGCCUUUGAUACUGGAGAGCUUGAGUCCGGAAGAGGUGAGUGGAACUCCGAGUGUAGAGGUGAAAUUCGUAGAUAUUCGGAAGAACACCAGUGGCGAAGGCGGCUCACUAGUCCGGUACUGACGCUGAGGUGCGAAAGCGUGGGGAGCAAACAGG
This 253-nucleotide ribosomal RNA is filed under the name uncultured bacterium. RNAcentral's name for it is "partial 16S ribosomal RNA". It matches the Rfam family "Bacterial small subunit ribosomal RNA", at positions 524 to 776 of the family's 1533-position model. The record is from RNAcentral.